CCUACGGGAGGCAGCAGUAGGGAAUCUUCCACAAUGGGCGAAAGCCUGAUGGAGCAACGCCGCGUGGGUGAAGAAGGUCUUCGGAUCGUAAAACCCUGUUGUUAGAGAAGAAAGUGCGUGAGAGUAACUGUUCACGUUUCGACGGUAUCUAACCAGAAAGCCACGGCUAAGUACGUGCCAGCAGCCGCGGUAAUACGUAGGUGGCAAGCGUUAUCCGGAGUGAAUGGGCGUAAAGGGAACGCAGGCGGUCUUUUAAGUCUGAUGGGAAAGCCUUCGGCUUAACCGGAGUAGUGCAUUGGAAACUGGGAGACUUGAGUGCAGAAGAGGAGAGUGGAACUCCAUGUGUAGCGGUGAAAUGCGUAGAUAUAUGGAAGAACACCAGUGGCGAAAGCGGCUCUCUGGUCUGUAACUGACGCUGAGGUUCGAAAGCGUGGGUAGCAAACAGGAUUAGAUACCCCGGUAGUC
Molecule: ribosomal RNA, 465 nt
Filed under: uncultured bacterium
Lineage: Bacteria
Description: partial 16S ribosomal RNA
Rfam family: Bacterial small subunit ribosomal RNA
Source: RNAcentral